GAUGAACGCUGGCGGCAUGCCUAAUACAUGCAAGUCGAACGAGAGGAAGGAAAGCUUGCUUUUCUGAAUCUAGUGGCGAACGGGUGAGUAACACGUAGGUAACCUGCCCAUGUGCCCGGGAUAACUUCUGGAAACGGAUGCUAAAACCGGAUAGGUAGCAGACAAGCAUUUGACUGCUAUUAAAGUGGCCUUGGCCAUGAACAUGGAUGGACCUGCGGUGCAUUAGCUGGUUGGUGAGGUAACGGCCCACCAAGGCGCCGAUGCAUAGCCGGCCUGAGAGGGCGGACGGCCACAUUGGGACUGAGACACGGCCCAAACUCCUACGGGAGGCAGCAGUAGGGAAUUUUCGUCAAUGGGGGGAACCCUGAACGAGCAAUGCCGCGUGAGUGAGGAAGGUCUUCGGAUCGUAAAGCUCUGUUGUAAGAGAAAAACGGCACUCAUAGGGAAUGAUGAGUGAGUGAUGGUAUCU
RNAcentral lists this ribosomal RNA (469 nucleotides) under uncultured bacterium. RNAcentral's name for it is "bacterial SSU rRNA". It matches the Rfam family "Bacterial small subunit ribosomal RNA", at positions 28 to 480 of the family's 1533-position model. The record is from RNAcentral.